GCUGGGCACAGUGGCUCAUGCCUGUAAUCCCCUUGUCUCAGGAGGCUGAGGCAGGAGGAUCAAGAGUUCAAAGUCAGCCUCAGCCAAAGUGAGGCCCUAAGCAACUCAGUGAGACCCUGUCUCUA
This 125-nucleotide small RNA is filed under the name Marmota monax (woodchuck). Lineage: Eukaryota; Metazoa; Chordata; Mammalia; Rodentia; Sciuridae. The record is from RNAcentral.